UCAGUUCGGACUGGAGUCUGNAACCCGACUCCACGAAGCUGGAUUCGCUAGUAAUCGCGCAUCAGCCACGGCGCGGUGAAUACGUUCCCGGGCCUUGUACACACCGCCCGUCACACCAUGGGAGUCGAUAACGCCCGAAGUCAGUGACCCAACCGAGAGGAGGGAGCUGCCGAAGGCGGGAUGGAUAACUGGGGUGAAGUCGUAACAAGGUAAC
RNAcentral lists this ribosomal RNA (214 nucleotides) under uncultured bacterium. RNAcentral describes it as "partial 16S ribosomal RNA". It matches the Rfam family "Bacterial small subunit ribosomal RNA", at positions 1288 to 1500 of the family's 1533-position model. The record is from RNAcentral.